Molecule: unclassified non-coding RNA, 204 nt
Filed under: uncultured Diaporthales
Lineage: Eukaryota; Fungi; Ascomycota; Sordariomycetes; Diaporthales
Description: sequence contains ITS1
Source: RNAcentral
CUGGAACUGUGUCCGCAAGGACACAACCCCAGAUACCCUUUGUGAACUUAUACCUUUAAUCGUUGCCUCGGCGCUGAGCUGGGAGCCCUUCUUGGGGCUCUCCCAUUUUACCUUGUGUGAGAUGGAGCAAGCCCGCCGGCGGCCCAUUAAACUCUUGUAUUUUAUACUGUAUCUCUUCUGAGUUAUUCAAAAACAAAUGAAUCA